AUAUGUGACGGCCAUCAGGAUGUGACAUCGAUCACCUCAUUGAUAGCAAGGUUCUAUUCAGUGGGGCUGGCUAGGUUAUGUCCCCUUCCUCUCCUACAUUCACGAGUGGCUCCUAUCCCAGAAGCUGUGAGACUGGUCAAAGCAGGUGGUCAUUUCAAUUGGAGAAGGCCUAUCCUUGGUCAAAGGCGUGUGAGUCUGUAUGCUCCCCUGUUGGAGCACUAAGAGAACUACCAUAUUUGAGCCAUAUUGAAAGCGAGAACUCCCAUAU
This 268-nucleotide small nuclear RNA is filed under the name Saimiri boliviensis boliviensis (Bolivian squirrel monkey). RNAcentral's name for it is "7SK RNA (ENSSBOG00000002276.1)". It matches the Rfam family "7SK RNA". Rfam says of the family: 7SK was discovered as an abundant small nuclear RNA in the mid-70s but a possible function has only recently been suggested. Two independent studies have found that 7SK RNA binds the CDK9/cyclin T complex (known as elongation factor P-TEFb). P-TEFb activates transcription by phosphorylating the C-terminal domain of RNA polymerase II. Lineage: Eukaryota; Metazoa; Chordata; Mammalia; Primates; Cebidae. The record is from RNAcentral.